UACGUAGGUAGCGAGCGUUGUCCGGAAUAACUGGGCGUAAAGGGAGUGUAGGUGGCAAUUUAAGUGAAAUGUGAAAGACCGAGGCUCAACCUCGGAAUUGCAAUUCAUACUGGAUAGCUAGAGUGCAGGAGGGGUAUGUGGAACUCCUAGUGUAGCGGUGGAAUGCGUAGAUAUUAGGAAGAACACCAGAGGCGAAGGCGACGUACUGGACUGUAACUGACACUGAGACUCGAAAGCGUGGGGAUCAAAC
This 250-nucleotide ribosomal RNA is filed under the name uncultured prokaryote. Its description in RNAcentral is "partial 16S ribosomal RNA". It matches the Rfam family "Bacterial small subunit ribosomal RNA", at positions 524 to 773 of the family's 1533-position model. The record is from RNAcentral.